This is a long non-coding RNA of Gossypium arboreum, 959 nucleotides long. RefSeq lists it as uncharacterized. Lineage: Eukaryota; Viridiplantae; Streptophyta; Magnoliopsida; Malvales; Malvaceae. The transcript is spliced from 2 exons. The record is from RefSeq and is a predicted model, not a curated record.
ACUUGCAUGUCAAUUUCCCCCCUAAUUUGGUAGUGGCCGGCCAUGAGCAUGAGAGGGGACAAAAUGUUAUGGGGUGAAACAUGUUGGAAACAUGUUGUGUUAGUGUGUUAGGGGAGAAAGAAUAAAAUAAAGGGGUUAGUAAUAAAGAAAUGAAAAGGGAGGGGUGAUGAGAAAAAAAAAAAAGGUUGUCUCAUCCAUGUUCCCCCCCCCAUUGCCGUGACUUGAGAAGCAAAAGAAAAGAAGAAAUCGGUUCUUCUUAGCUGAAAUGAAAAGAAGAAGAAAGGAAUGAAGCUAGAAAGGAGAGGGCAGCUGCAUGUAGUGGAAAACCAUGGAAUUUGUUUGCUUAGAAGUUAAAAUUUUCAAGUAGAAGGGUAACUCUUCUAAACUCUCCCUUGCCCAUAGCUUUUCGUUGACAAAUUCUGGUUGCAUUGUUGAUUUGAGCUUGACGAAUAUGUGGGAGAAGAGAAGAUUCUCUUUUCUAGUUGCAAAUGUUGCAUGUCUAGUAGAUGAAGAGUUUCUCACUUGUGUUAAAAGAAUCUAGUGAAUGCUUGUGUUGUUAUAAUCUAUUUUUGUAACUUUGGGGUUGAUUGUAUUUAGCUAACAAGGUAGGAGAAGGUGGUAGUAGACAAGGGAAAGAGCAAAUUGAAUAGGUGGAAUCGGAGUUGGGAGCCUUGAUUUUGCUAGUUAGCUAUCGGAUUCGGGAUCAUUGAAGUCGAAGUCAUCCACACUAUCAAAGCCCCCAUUUUGGUACAAUUUUGGUUGAAAUUUGAAAUGGCAUGUAUAGGACUACCCUUUUGUUGUAGGUUAUGUACCUUUCGGUUUUGUGUAAAUUCGGAUAGCCAUGCGAAAAUGGCUUAUAUACGUUUCUAGCAUAGUACUAUAAUCGUUUGUAUGUUGAUCAUUAUGAGGUAUGGAAUUGUUUUGAAACGAUUAGCCAUUGGAAUGGUUAAUCAUGAUCA